AGUGACCACAAGAAGAGCAACUCUCCAGAAAUCUUCAGGGUAGAGAUGAGACCAACCAAGUAGUAUUCACUUGUCCUCAACAGCAGAAUCUGAGAAGGAAGAAAAUAGGAGAAAGAGGAAGGGAAAGAGUUGCAGGACUGUGAAUAGAGUUAAUCAAGGCUCUUGAUUGCAGGAGAAGGCUGUGAUUAAGAUUGAAUCGCCAGUUGUGGCUAGAGAACUCCUUGCCAGAUACGGUGGG
RNAcentral lists this long non-coding RNA (238 nucleotides) under Capra hircus (goat). Its description in RNAcentral is "lncRNA (ENSCHIG00010007364.1)". The record is from RNAcentral. Lineage: Eukaryota; Metazoa; Chordata; Mammalia; Artiodactyla; Bovidae.